AUUGAACGCUGGCGGCAGGCCUAACACAUGCAAGUCGAACGAGUGGCGGACGGGUGAGUAAUGUCUGGGAAACUGCCCGAUGGAGGGGGAUAACUACUGGAAACGGUAGCUAAUACCGCAUACCAUCGGAGCCGCCGAGAUGGGAUUAGCUAGUAGGUGGGGUAAAGGCUCACCUAGGCGACGAUCCCUAGCUGGUCUGAGAGGAAGACCAGCCACACUGGGACUGAGACACGGUCCAGACUCCUACGGGAGGCAGCAGUGGGGAAUAUUGCACAAUGGGCGCAAGCCUGAUGCAGCCAUGCCGCGUGUAUGAAGAAGGCCUUCGGGUUGUAAAGUACUUUCAGCGGGGAGGCGUUACCCGCAGAAGAAGCACCGGCUAACUCCGUGCCAGCAGCCGCGGUAAUUC
This 406-nucleotide ribosomal RNA is filed under the name uncultured bacterium. RNAcentral describes it as "partial 16S ribosomal RNA". It matches the Rfam family "Bacterial small subunit ribosomal RNA", at positions 30 to 526 of the family's 1533-position model. The record is from RNAcentral.